This 72-nucleotide transfer RNA is filed under the name Candidatus Aminicenantota bacterium. RNAcentral describes it as "Candidatus Aminicenantes bacterium tRNA-Val". It matches the Rfam family "tRNA". Rfam says of the family: Transfer RNA (tRNA) molecules are approximately 80 nucleotides in length. Their secondary structure includes four short double-helical elements and three loops (D, anti-codon, and T loops). The record is from RNAcentral. Lineage: Bacteria; Candidatus Aminicenantota.
GGGCGGUUAGCUCAGCGGAAGAGCAUCGGUCUUACACGCCGGGGGUCGCAGGUUCGAACCCUGCACCGCCCA